This 83-nucleotide transfer RNA is filed under the name Deltaproteobacteria bacterium. RNAcentral describes it as "tRNA-Leu". It matches the Rfam family "tRNA". Rfam says of the family: Transfer RNA (tRNA) molecules are approximately 80 nucleotides in length. Their secondary structure includes four short double-helical elements and three loops (D, anti-codon, and T loops). Lineage: Bacteria; Pseudomonadati; Myxococcota; Myxococcia. The record is from RNAcentral.
GCGAAGGUGGCGGAACUGGUAGACGCGCAGGAUUCAGGUUUCUGUGUCCAUUGGAUGUAGGGGUUCGAGUCCCCUCCUUCGCA